Molecule: small nucleolar RNA, 68 nt
Filed under: Podarcis lilfordi (Lilford's wall lizard)
Lineage: Eukaryota; Metazoa; Chordata; Lepidosauria; Squamata; Lacertidae
Source: RNAcentral
CUCCCCAGUGAUGAGACUUUUACCGCCCCAGUCUGAUUUCUUGUGACUGAGUGGUCCUUUCUGAGGCU